Molecule: ribosomal RNA, 253 nt
Filed under: uncultured bacterium
Lineage: Bacteria
Description: partial 16S ribosomal RNA
Rfam family: Bacterial small subunit ribosomal RNA
Source: RNAcentral
UACGAAGGGUGCAAGCGUUACUCGGAAUUACUGGGCGUAAAGCGUGCGUAGGUGGUUUGUUAAGUCUGCUGUGAAAGCCCUGGGCUCAACCUGGGAAUGGCGGUGGAUACUGACAAGCUAGAGUGCGGUAGAGGAGGGUGGAAUUCCCGGUGUAGCGGUGAAAUGCGUAGAUAUAGGAAGGAACACCAGUGGCGAAGGCGACCACCUGGACUGAUACUGACACUGAGGUGCGAAAGCGUGGGGAGCAAACAGG